RNAcentral lists this ribosomal RNA (373 nucleotides) under uncultured organism. Its description in RNAcentral is "bacterial SSU rRNA". It matches the Rfam family "Bacterial small subunit ribosomal RNA", at positions 526 to 896 of the family's 1533-position model. The record is from RNAcentral.
CGGAGGAUCCAAGCGUUAUCCGGAAUUACUGGGCGUAAAGAGUUGCGUAGGUGGCAUAGUAAGUUAGUAGUGAAAGCGUGGGGCUCAACCUCAUAUCCAUUACUAAAACUGCUAAGCUAGAGGAUGAGAGAGGUCGCUGGAAUUUCUAGUGUAGGAGUGAAAUCCGUAGAUAUUAGAAGGAACACCGAUGGCGUAGGCAGGCGACUGGCUCAUUCCUGACACUAAGGCACGAAAGCGUGGGGAGCGACCGGGAUUAGAUACCCCGUUAGUCCACGCCGUAAACGAUGGAUGCUAGCUGUAUUACGUAUCGACCCGUGAUGUAGCGAAGCUAACGCGUUAAGCAUCCCGCCUGUGGAGUACGAGCGCAAGCUUA